Molecule: ribosomal RNA, 518 nt
Filed under: uncultured Glomeromycotina
Lineage: Eukaryota; Fungi; Glomeromycota
Description: SSU rRNA
Rfam family: Eukaryotic small subunit ribosomal RNA
Source: RNAcentral
CGCAGCCGCGGUAAUUCCAGCUCCAAUAGCGUAUAUUAAAGUUGUUGCAGUUAAAAAGCUCGUAGUUGAAUUUCGGAAUCUGUCCAUCGGUCGGGCUUCACUGUCCGUACUGGUGUGGUGGGUUCUUACCUUCUGAAUAACCAGCAUGUCAUUCACUUGGUGCGCUGGGGAAGCAGGACUAUUACCUUGAAAAAUUAGAGUGCUCAAAGCAGGCUAGUGCCUGAAUACAUUAGCAUGGAAUAAUAAAAUAGGACGGCAUGGUUCUAUUUUGUUGGUUUCUAGGAUCACCGUAAUGAUUAAUAGGGAUAGUUGGGGGCAUUAGUAUUCAAUUGUCAGAGGUGAAAUUCUUGGAUUUAUUGAAGACUAACUUCUGCGAAAGCAUUUGCCAAGGAUGUUUUCAUUAAUCAAGAACGAAAGUUAGGGGAUCGAAGACGAUCAGAUACCGUCGUAGUCUUAACCAUAAACUAUGCCGACUAGGGAUCGGACGAUGUUAAUUUUUAAUGACUCGUUCGGUACCG